RNAcentral lists this ribosomal RNA (274 nucleotides) under uncultured bacterium. RNAcentral describes it as "partial 16S ribosomal RNA". It matches the Rfam family "Bacterial small subunit ribosomal RNA", at positions 523 to 796 of the family's 1533-position model. The record is from RNAcentral.
AUACGGAGGGUGCGAGCGUUAAUCGGAAUCACUGGGCUUAAAGGGUACGUAGGCGGCCUAUCAAGUCAGGUGUGAAAUCCCACGGCUCAACCGUGGAACUGCGCUUGAAACUGAUAGGCUUGAGGAAGACAGGGGUGUGUGGAACUUCUCGUGGAGCGGUGAAAUGUGUUGAUAUGAGAAGGAACACCGGUGGCGAAGGCGACACACUGGGUCUUUUCUGACGCUGAGGUACGAAAGCCAGGGGAGCGAACGGGAUUAGAUACCCUAGUAGUCC